UACAGAGGUCUCAAGCGUUGUUCGGAUUCAUUGGGUGUAAAGGGUGCGUAGGCGGUGGGGCAAGUCAGGUGUGAAAUCCCGGAGCUCAACUCCGGAACUGCACUUGAUACUGCCUUGCUAGAGUACUGGAGAGGUAGCUGGAAUUAUCGGUGUAGCAGUGAAAUGCGUGGAUAUCGAUAGGAACACUCGUGGCGAAGGCGGCUCCCUGGACAAUUGCUGACACUCAGGCACGAAAGCGUGGGGAGCAAAAGGG
This 253-nucleotide ribosomal RNA is filed under the name uncultured bacterium. RNAcentral describes it as "partial 16S ribosomal RNA". It matches the Rfam family "Bacterial small subunit ribosomal RNA", at positions 524 to 776 of the family's 1533-position model. The record is from RNAcentral.